AAAUCCCUACGGGGGGCAGCAGUGGGGGAUAUUGCACAAUGGGGGGAACCCUGAUGCAGCGACGCCGCGUGGGUGAAGGAGCGUUUCGGCGCGUAAAGCCCUAUCGGCAGGGAAGAAGAUGACGGUACCUGACCAAGAAGCCCCGGCUAACUACGUGCCAGCAGCCGCGGUAAUACGUAGGGGGCAAGCGUUAUCCGGAUUUACUGGGGGCAAAGGGGGCGAAGACGGCAAUGCAAGCCAGGGGGGAAAGGCCGGGGGCCAACCCCGG
Molecule: ribosomal RNA, 268 nt
Filed under: uncultured bacterium
Lineage: Bacteria
Description: partial 16S ribosomal RNA
Rfam family: Bacterial small subunit ribosomal RNA
Source: RNAcentral